AUUGAACGCUGGCGGCAGGCCUAACACAUGCAAGUCGAGCGGAUGAAGGGAGCUUGCUCCUGGAUUCAGCGGCGGACGGGUGAGUAAUGCCUAGGAAUCUGCCUGGCAGUGGGGGAUAACGUCCGGAAACGGGCGCUAAUACCGCAUACGUCCUGAGGGAGAAAGUGGGGGAUCUUCGGACCUCACGCUAUCAGAUGAGCCUAGGUCGGAUUAGCUAGUUGGUGGGGUAAAGGCCUACCAAGGCGACGAUCCGUAACUGGUCUGAGAGGAUGAUCAGUCACACUGGAACUGAGACACGGUCCAGACUCCUACGGGAGGCAGCAGUGGGGAAUAUUGGACAAUGGGCGAAAGCCUGAUCCAGCCAUGCCGCGUGUGUGAAGAAGGUCUUCGGAUUGUAAAGCACUUUAAGUUGGGAGGAAGAGCAGUAAGUUAAUACCUUGCUGUUUUGACGGUACCAACAGAAUAAGCACCGGCUAACUUCGUG
RNAcentral lists this ribosomal RNA (484 nucleotides) under uncultured bacterium. RNAcentral describes it as "partial 16S ribosomal RNA". It matches the Rfam family "Bacterial small subunit ribosomal RNA", at positions 30 to 507 of the family's 1533-position model. The record is from RNAcentral.